Molecule: non-coding RNA, 116 nt
Filed under: Heterosigma akashiwo
Lineage: Eukaryota; Raphidophyceae; Chattonellales; Chattonellaceae
Source: RNAcentral
GCCAAGGCCUACAAGCUCUUAGAGAGCCUCCGACAGGGCGCUCUUUGUUGCCUCUAAUGGUGAGAUCUCAGAGCAUGUGGGCAUCAAGUCCGGCGUUCCGCAGGGCGCCAUCUGGU